This 644-nucleotide ribosomal RNA is filed under the name uncultured bacterium. RNAcentral's name for it is "bacterial SSU rRNA". It matches the Rfam family "Bacterial small subunit ribosomal RNA", at positions 8 to 697 of the family's 1533-position model. The record is from RNAcentral.
AGGGUUUGAUCAUGGCUCAGAACGUACGCUGGCGGCACGCCUAAUACAUGCAAGUCGAACGAAGUAGCAAUACUUAGUGGCAGACGGGUGAGUAACAUGUAGGUAUCUGCCCUUUGGCCUGGAAUAACACGAGGAAACUUGUGCUAAUACCGGAUAAGUCUUUACGGAGAAAGCUUUAUGCACCAUUGGAUGAGCCUGCACUUGAUUAGUUUGUUGGUGGGGUAAUGGCCUACCAAGACAAUGAUCAAUAGCUGAUUUGAGAGGAUGAUCAGCCACAUUGGGACUGAGACACGGCCCAAACUCCUACGGGAGGCAGCAGUAGGAAAUCUUGCACAAUGGAGGAAACUCUGAUGCAGCGAUGCCGCGUGAGUGAAGAAGGCCUUUGGGUUGUAAAGCUCUUUCGUCGGGGAAGAAAAUGACUGUACCCGAAUAAGAAGGUCCGGCUAACUUCGUGCCAGCAGCCGCGGUAAUACGAAGGGACCUAGCGUAGUUCGGAAUUACUGGGCUUAAAGAGUUCGUAGGUGGUUAAAAAAGUUGGUGGUGAAAUCCCAGAGCUUAACUCUGGAACUGCCAUCAAAACUUUUUAGCUAGAGUAUGAUAGAGGAAAGCAGAAUUUCUAGUGUAGAGGUGAAAUUCGUAGAUAU